Molecule: ribosomal RNA, 497 nt
Filed under: uncultured bacterium
Lineage: Bacteria
Description: partial 16S ribosomal RNA
Rfam family: Bacterial small subunit ribosomal RNA
Source: RNAcentral
GAUGAACGCUGGCGGCGUGCCUAAUACAUGCAAGUCGAGCGAACAGACGAGGAGCUUGCUCCUCUGACGUUAGCGGCGGACGGGUGAGUAACACGUGGAUAACCUACCUAUAAGACUGGGAUAACUUCGGGAAACCGGCGCUAAUACCGGAUAAUAUAUUGAACCGCAUGGUUCAAUAGUGAAAGACGGUUUUGCUGUCACUUAUAGAUGGAUCCGCGCCGCAUUAGCUAGUUGGUAAGGUAACGGCUUACCAAGGCAACGAUGCGUAGCCGACCUGAGAGGGUGAUCGGCCACACUGGAACUGAGACACGGUACAGACUCCUACGUGAGGCAGCAGUAGGGAAUCUUCCGCAAUGGGCGAAAGCCUGACGGAGCAACGCCGCGUGAGUGAUUAAGUUCUUCGGUGCGUAAAACUCUGUUAGUAGGGAAGAACAAAUGUGUAAGUAACUAUGCACGUCUUGACGGUACCUAAUCAGAAAGCCACGGCUAACUACGUG